CUCCUCUGUCCAUGGGAUUUCCCAGGCAAGAAUACGGGAGUGGGUUGCCAUUUCCUUCUCCAGGCCAUAUUCCCCAGCCAGGGACUGAACUCUUGUCUCUUGCAUCUCCUGCAUUGCAGGCCCAUUCUUUACUGUCUGAGCCACCGGAAAACCCGAAAUAAGGUAAAUCUGACAACAAUUUCAGGAAACAUUCUUCUCAGAAAGUCUAUUUGGAAACCUAAAAUUAGCACCAAUACUCCAGAAAAUAAGGUCCACUGCUUUUCUAAAGUGCCUUCCUACCUUGCCCAGUCUCUUGUGUAGACAGCAAUCGUUCUGGGACUCUGCUCCCUUAACCAGUAGCACCUGGGAACUCGCUAGAAAUGCAAAUUACUAGGCUGCACUCCAAACUUACUGAAUCAGAAACUCUGGGGGCGGCACGCAGAAAUCUUGUUUUUACGAUUCCCUUCAGGCGUUUCUGGUGAUCGCUUAAGUUUGAUAACCACAGAUACGGGGUAAAUGUAUUGAAAAUUUGCUGCACCGGUUAUGGGAAAAACGAACGCGCUCUUUUUUCAGCUCUAGCAGCUGCAGCUUCUCAGUAGAAUCAGGAGAGGGCGCCCACGGACCUGUCUUUGCCUCGCUCCUAGCAAAGCCUCGCGACCGGGUAAGCCCUGGAACAGUGACUUCUUUCUAAUGCAGAAGUGAAUGACAAAUAUACGAAAAAAAGACUUCAAAAGACUGUGGUAUCAAAGUGGCAGUUAAAGAGAAGGCAGCGCUCAGAGGCGCAGCUGCAGAGGGCAGCGGCGGCGGCUACAUCAGCAUCCGAAAAUUCCGGAAGCAUCUCGAGUUGAAGCUUCCCCCCGUGCCACCCCCUGCAGCAUUUCUUCGAACCCUUUUCUUUGAUACACGAUUCACCAGAUUUCUUCUGUACAUGGGGACAGCUCCUAUGGUGGAAAAUGGCAAUUUACAUGGGAUAAGACUUCUACCUGACCUUACCUGUGUGUCCUCUGCAAGCUUAUCCAGUAAUUGCAAAAAUCAAUGUGUCACACGUCACUUCCCUGGAAAGCAGCGCUGAGGAUCUAUCAGUCACCAGCAACUGCAACAGACGUCAUUCAUGUCACCUGCACCUUUCUCCUUUGUCCUCUCCAGCUCUCUCAGCCUAAAGGAGAGAAGCCUGGGUGAGUGUCCCCUCACUGGGCCCUGCUUAUCUGACAGCAAUCAAUGGAUAUUUAGCAAACAUUCAUAAUGAACACCUGACCCUGUGUUGGGUGUUAGCUCCCAUCUUGCAAGCCUUUGCUGUAGUUUAUUCCCUCUUCCUGGAAGGUUCUCCUCAGCAAUCUUCAUCUGACUAGUUUCAUCUUGUCAUGCAAAAUCUUAACUAAGGUUUUCAACAUCACCACCGCAAAAACAUCUUCUUUCUGGACAUGGGGACACAGCAGAAGGUGAGGAUGGGAUAGGCGGA
RNAcentral lists this long non-coding RNA (1438 nucleotides) under Bos indicus x Bos taurus (hybrid cattle). Its description in RNAcentral is "lncRNA (ENSBIXG00000023124.1)". Lineage: Eukaryota; Metazoa; Chordata; Mammalia; Artiodactyla; Bovidae. The record is from RNAcentral.